GUGCCAGCCGCUGCGGUAAUACGGAGGGUGCAAGCGUUGUCCGGAAUCACUGGGCGUAAAGGGUACGCAGGCGGGGCAGCAAGUCGGAGGUGAAAGCCCAUGGCCCAACCAUGGAAGUGCCUUCGAAACUGUUGCUCUUGAGUCCCGGAGAGGCUGUCGGAAUUCGUGGUGUAGCGGUGAAAUGCGUAGAUAUCACGAGGAACACCAGAGGCGAAAGCGGGCAACUGGACGGGUACUGACACUGAGGCACGAAAGCGUGGGGAGCAAACAGGAUUAGAAACCCUGGUAGUCC
RNAcentral lists this ribosomal RNA (292 nucleotides) under uncultured bacterium. Its description in RNAcentral is "partial 16S ribosomal RNA". It matches the Rfam family "Bacterial small subunit ribosomal RNA", at positions 505 to 796 of the family's 1533-position model. The record is from RNAcentral.